RNAcentral lists this non-coding RNA (30 nucleotides) under Mus musculus (house mouse). The record is from RNAcentral. Lineage: Eukaryota; Metazoa; Chordata; Mammalia; Rodentia; Muridae.
UGUGAUUCUGAUUUCAUGAGGUCCUAUGGC